CCAGUUACUCCUGCAGAGGAAAAUAAUAAAUAAUAAAGUAAUGGCUUUAACUCCACUCCUCUACCGACCAAAUAUCCCAUGAAGUACAUCAAUUGAAUCCUUAGUAAGUUUAUGCUGUCACCUGCAACCUAUUCUCAUUUAAACAAAAGAAGAAAAGUUGUUGCAUAAGCAUGCCUAUAAUACACCACAAACCAAACAAAAGAUAAACGAUAAGAAAAAUUAGGAAGUUUUCAUAGGACCACUGUACCUUUCCACCACCCUGCAUCAAAAUCAAACACACAGUUCAACAUUGUAGGGAAAAAAAAGAGGUAAAAAGGACAAUUACUAAUUUAGAAGGUUUGGUCACAUACUAUAAUAUUUAUAAUUGAUGCUUAAGAGUCAGGGAUAUGCAAUUCCACAUAAUCAACAGAGUCACCUAAAAUGUGUACACAAGAAUGCAACGUGUACCAUUUCUUCCAAUUCAACUAAGUCACUUUCAAAUUAGAUCUUUAUCUACUAUUUGAUUUAAUCUUCCCUCUAGAUGUAGCUUCUUAACGUUAAUUUAAAAUGAUUCAAGUUAUCACAUAUGCUUAACUAAAACCUCUAACAUUAAAAUCAACACAAGAAAAAGAACAUAACUUACUUACCCUAUAGCCCAUGGAGGUAUAGAGGAAUUGGAAGUACUAGCCAGCCAAUUUUAUAGCAGUUAAUGGACAUUGACAGAUGAAAGGUUUUGCAGAAUCCUUAGAAAACGUGGACUAAACAAUUGUCCUAUAUACUCAUGUACUUUCAAGUUCUUCAUAAAUCGUAAAUAAACAAUAGCAUUAUAACUGAGUAGUGUCUGAUUGUGUGUCAAUGACAAAGAUGUCAUAGAAGAGGUUGAAGGUAUGGAUCAAAAGCAAAGAAUUGAAACCAACCUAAGGUAUAAAAUAACAAGAAUUAUGCACUGAUUACCACUUAACAUUAGAACAUAAAAGAUUCAUUCUUAACCAAUAUUCCAUAUCUCAAAUAAAAAAUAGUUUUCUGAUGCUAGUUCAAUCAAAAUAUGUGAGCAAAAGAAUUAUAAUAAAAGUUAAAAACCAGUACUUUGAGCUAAAAUACUACCACUCCGAAGUAAUGAAUCGGGAGGAAUGAGAGAAACACCUGAUACGAGGCUAGUAAUCCGACUCAUCUGCAGCUGCCGUACCCCAAAACCAGAAAAUUCUACUACAGAACAGCAACCCACAAACCAAAACAAAACACAAACCUGCACCAGUUCAACAAACUUGAACUACAACAUCAGCUANNNNNCUUAUCAUACAACUUAAAGGAUAUAACUAUUGUUAAUGGUUAAAACCUCAUUCAUUUGUUGUCCCCUUUAUUUGUUCAGUAGCUACAAAACAACAUAAACAAAACAAUAAGAAUUGUCAAAUAAGAAUCCACCCGAAUCAACAAAAAUUGGAUAAAAUCACCUCUCAAGUUUCAUUUUUUCUUCACACAUACAAUCUUAAGAUUGAAUCAUUUGAUUAGAGAGCAAUCAACAAUAAAUCUGAACUAAGCAUUAGACAUAUUUUCAAAUUAGCAUCAGUUUAACAUGAAUUAGAGGUUCUCUGAAUGAACUUCAACUGUCAAAUUAACAAGAAAGAAAGGGGAAAUAAACCAUAGAUCCNNNNNNNNNNNNNNNNNNNNNNNNNNNNNNNCAACAGAAGCAAUUAUAGGUUUCAAGGAUGAAAAUCGACUUUAGAUCUUAGGAAAAAACAAAAGAAAAUAGCAUAACACAAUUUCGUAGGGUUCGAGGAUAAAAUAGCGAACCUGAAAAGUGAGAUGCCACAACGGAAGAGAAGGCUGUAAGAAGAUAACGGUGAGGGACGAUAUAGAGAUUGUGUGUGGUGACUGGUUCUCACUUGUGAUGUGAAAAACGAACGCCGGGGCUGUUGCAAAAAGGGAA
Molecule: long non-coding RNA, 1906 nt
Filed under: Trifolium pratense (red clover)
Lineage: Eukaryota; Viridiplantae; Streptophyta; Magnoliopsida; Fabales; Fabaceae
Description: long non-coding RNA (TPRA_LNC013259)
Source: RNAcentral